AUUGAACGCUGGCGGCAUGCCUUACACAUGCAAGUCGAACGGCAGCACGGGAGCUUGCUCCUGGUGGCGAGUGGCGAACGGGUGAGUAAUACAUCGGAACGUACCCUGAAGUGGGGGAUAACGUAGCGAAAGUUACGCUAAUACCGCAUAUUCUGUGAGCAGGAAAGAGGGGGGAUCGCAAGACCUCUUGCUUUAGGAGCGGCCGACGUCGGAUUAGCUAGUUGGUGAGGUAAAGGCUCACCAAGGCGACGAUCCGUAGCGGGUCUGAGAGGAUGAUCCGCCACACUGGGACUGAGACACGGCCCAGACUCCUACGGGAGGCAGCAGUGGGGAAUUUUGGACAAUGGGCGCAAGCCUGAUCCAGCCAUGCCGCGUGAGUGAAGAAGGCCUUCGGGUUGGUAAAGAC
This 406-nucleotide ribosomal RNA is filed under the name uncultured bacterium. Its description in RNAcentral is "bacterial SSU rRNA". It matches the Rfam family "Bacterial small subunit ribosomal RNA", at positions 30 to 433 of the family's 1533-position model. The record is from RNAcentral.